This is a non-coding RNA of Zea mays, 46 nucleotides long. Lineage: Eukaryota; Viridiplantae; Streptophyta; Magnoliopsida; Poales; Poaceae. The record is from Rfam.
UGAAGGGCUUUUUUGAAAGCUACACACAUUUUCAUAACGAAAGUGU